RNAcentral lists this ribosomal RNA (440 nucleotides) under uncultured bacterium. Its description in RNAcentral is "partial 16S ribosomal RNA". It matches the Rfam family "Bacterial small subunit ribosomal RNA", at positions 338 to 795 of the family's 1533-position model. The record is from RNAcentral.
CCUACGGGGGGCAGCAGUGGGGAAUAUUGCACAAUGGGGGGAACCCUGAUGCAGCGACGCCGCGUGGGUGAGGAAGUACUUCGGUAUGUAAAGCCCUAUCAGCAGGGAAGAAAAUGACGGUACCUGACUAAGAAGCCCCGGCUAACUACGUGCCAGCAGCCGCGGUAAUACGUAGGGGGCAAGCGUUAUCCGGAUUUACUGGGUGUAAAGGGAGCGUAGACGGCGUGCCAAGUCUGGUGUGAAAGGCCGGGGCUCAACCCCGGGACUGCAUUGGAAACUGGCAUGCUGGAGUGCAGGAGGGGCAAGCGGAAUUCCUAGUGUAGCGGUGAAAUGCGUAGAUAUUAGGAGGAACACCGGUGGCGAAGGCGGCUUGCUGGACGGUAACUGACGUUGAGGCUCGAAAGCGUGGGGAGCAAACAGGAUUAGAUACCCUAGUAGUC